Molecule: ribosomal RNA, 210 nt
Filed under: uncultured Veillonellaceae bacterium
Lineage: Bacteria; Bacillati; Bacillota; Negativicutes; Veillonellales; Veillonellaceae
Description: partial 16S ribosomal RNA
Rfam family: Bacterial small subunit ribosomal RNA
Source: RNAcentral
AGCGCAGGUGGGCUGUCAAGUCUGUCUUAAAAGUGCGGGGCUUAACCCCGUGAUGGGAUAGAAACUGGCAGUCUUGAGUGCAGGAGAGGAAAGCGGAAUUCCUAGUGUAGCGGUGAAAUGCGUAGAUAUUAGGAGGAACACCAGUGGCGAAAGGCGGCUUUCUGGACUGUAAACUGACACUGAGGCUCGAAAAUCCAGGGGGAGCGAACG